UAAGUCAGAGGUGAAAGGUUGCAGCUCAACUGUAGAAUUGCCUUUGAUACUGGAGCUCUUGAGUUAUGUUGCUGUGGCCGGAACAUGUGGUGUAGCGGUGAAAUGCAUAGAUAUCACAUAGAACACCGAUUGCGAAGGCAGGUCACAAAGCAUACACUGACACUGAGGGACGAAAGCGUGGGGAGCGAACGGGAUUAGAUACCCCGGUAGUCCACGCCGUAAACGAUGGAUACUAGCUGUUGGGUUUUCGGACUCGGCGGCCAAGCGAAAGUGAUAAGUAUCCCACCUGGGGAGUACGUUCGCAAGAAUGAAACUCAAAGGAAUUGACGGGGGCCCGCACAAGCGGUGGAGCAUGUGGUUUAAUUCGAUGAUACGCGAGGAACCUUACCAGGGCUUAAAUGGGAGAUGACCGGGUCAGAGACGACCCUUUCUUCGGACAUCUUUCAAGGUGCUGCAUGGUUGUCGUCAGCUCGUGCCGUGAGGUGUCAGGUUAAGUCCUAUAACGAGCGCAACGCCUGCCGUUAGUUGCCAGCGAGUCAAGUCGGGGACUCUAACGGGACUGCCGGUGCAAACCGUGAGGAAGGUGGGGACGACGUCAAAUCAUCACGGCCCUUACGUCCUGGGCUACACACGUGCUACAAUGGUCGGUACAAUGGGAAGCCACCCCGUGAGGGGGCGCGGAUCUUGAAAGCCGAUCACAGUUCGGAUCGGGGUCUGC
RNAcentral lists this ribosomal RNA (718 nucleotides) under uncultured Bacteroidota bacterium. RNAcentral's name for it is "bacterial SSU rRNA". It matches the Rfam family "Bacterial small subunit ribosomal RNA", at positions 584 to 1308 of the family's 1533-position model. Lineage: Bacteria; Pseudomonadati; Bacteroidota. The record is from RNAcentral.